Sinocyclocheilus grahami is the source of this 453-nucleotide long non-coding RNA. RefSeq lists it as uncharacterized. NCBI's taxonomy places the organism in Eukaryota, Metazoa, Chordata, Actinopteri, Cypriniformes, Cyprinidae. The record is from RefSeq and is a predicted model, not a curated record. The transcript is spliced from 3 exons.
CUGCACAGUAAUGCCGUGGCUUUAUGAAAGUAAUAUUGCAUAAUGUUUUCUUUGUAGGUUGAGGGGAGAGCUGUGCUCAUCACGGGCUGCGACACUGGAUUUGGACUGGCUUUGGCCAAGCACUUUCUUAAGCUCGGCUUCGCUGUGUUUGCAGGUUGCCUGUUUAAGGAUGGAGAAGGUGCAAAGGAGCUGGAGAACAUUCAUUCAGAGAAGCUGAAGGUUGUGCAGCUGGACGUCUGCAGCGAGGAGCAGGUCUCUCAGGCUGUUGAGUUUGUGACUGCUAACCUGGAAGAGGCGGAGAAAGGUCUGUGGGCUGUGGUCAACAAUGCUGGUAUCUCCACAUUCGGUGAGGUGGAGUUCACAUCCAUGGACACAUACAAGCAGGUUUCAGAGGUCAACCUGUGGGGCACCAUCAGAGUAACCAAAGCCUUCCUGCCUCUCAUCCGCAGGGCU